Molecule: long non-coding RNA, 1073 nt
Organism: Ictalurus furcatus (blue catfish)
Lineage: Eukaryota; Metazoa; Chordata; Actinopteri; Siluriformes; Ictaluridae
Exons: 3
Source: RefSeq, a predicted model, not a curated record
GGCACCCUUCAUUAAAAUUAGCAACAAUGCCUUUAAUUUUAACACAUUCAAUAAAAGGCAGUUUGAAAUUAAAUAUCUAAGGGACGCUACAGUUUUAUUUCCGGCGUGUUAUAUUUCUCAAGUAGUGCGUUUUUUUUUUUGGGGCCACUUCAACCUUGUUUUUCGCUUCUAGUGCUACGAACGGAUUCUCACACCUGUUCUUUUUUAGAUGCAAAUGGAAAAUCACAAAUGUGCAUACUGAUGAAACCGGAAGACAGCUAUUUCAAUUUCAGAAAUAAAAGAGGACAAAACCGGACACCCACCGCAUCAGCAAUUAUAUCGUAUCAGUGUAAUUACUUCAAAUGCCUUAUAACCGUCAUAUGGCUUCUCUAGGGUUUCUGAAGGCCGUCGGAUCACGAAACAAAAUCGAUGAUUCUCUUCAUUUCUACCCCACUUAAGAUAUCGGUGUUUCUCGUACCUCGAGGUUGGGCACCAUGAGAAGAUCGGAUAUCUUGGUCCUCUCGUCGAUCAGACUGUUCCAGUCCAGCAUGUCGAUGGUGCUGAUGUGAGAAAGAAGACCUACACUCAGCAUGAGCGGUGUCUUUACCUGCAGCUGCUCGAGGUCCAGUUUCCGCUCCAGGACCUCGCGGCCGCCGUUCCCCUGCUGCGCCGCUAGGAAACUGAAGAAAUGUUUCCACUUCACCAGCACCUCGGAAAAUUGCAGCUAGAUCACAGGAGAGAAGAGAAAAGAAAAGGGGGAAGGAAAAACAAAAAAAAACCAAGAACCCUCAGAUUUACCGACGUGAAAAUCUUCCCAGCACGCCAACCAGCUUUCUGCGGUAAUUCAACGCCGUGAUUCACAUGACAUUUCCAUUCCUACUGGAACAAUUAUCUGGAACAGAGACAUAGGAACCGUUUAUCUGGAACCGCCAUAAAGGCCCGUAGUUCCUAACAGAAACACACAGGCGUGUAAAAGGAGCGCAGUCCUUUUUGUCUAGGAGAGUGGCAACAGGAGCAAGGUCAUUCUGCAACAUUUAACCUUUGCUUUGGUGUUGAUAAACGUGUCAAUCUGGACAUGAUUAGCACUUUUUGCU